Molecule: ribosomal RNA, 510 nt
Filed under: uncultured archaeon
Lineage: Archaea
Description: bacterial SSU rRNA
Rfam family: Archaeal small subunit ribosomal RNA
Source: RNAcentral
UAUAAGGGGACACUGAGUGCCAGCAUAUUAUGUUGGCUGUCCACAUGUGUAAACGGCAUGUGAUAGCAAGGGCCGGGCAAGACCGGUGCCAGCCGCCGCGGUAACACCGGCGGCCCGAGUGGUGAUCAUUAUUAUUGGGUCUAAAGGGUCCGUAGCCGGUUUGAUCAGUCUUUUGGGAAAUCUGACAGCUCAACUGUUAGGCUUCUAAGGGAUACUGUCAAACUUGGGACCGGGAGAGGUAAGAGGUACCACAAGGGUAGGAGUGAAAUCUUGUAAUCCCUGUGGGACCACCAGUGGCGAAGGCGUCUUACCAGAACGGGUCCGACGGUGAGGGACGAAAGCUGGGGGCACGGACCGGAUUAGAUACCCGGGUAGUCCCAGCCGUAAACGAUGCUCGCUAGGUGUCUGGGACGGUGCGACCGUUUCAGGUGCCGCAGGGAAGCCGUGAAGCGAGCCACCUGGGAAGUACGGCCGCAAGGCUGGAACUUAAAGGAAUUGGCGGGGGAGCAC